Long non-coding RNA from Heterocephalus glaber (naked mole-rat), 671 nucleotides. The record is from Ensembl. NCBI's taxonomy places the organism in Eukaryota, Metazoa, Chordata, Mammalia, Rodentia, Bathyergidae.
CACUGUGCCAAUGAUGUUGCCUUGUGGGAUUUUCUAGCAAUGACAGGAGAAUCUACAUAUCUUUGAGCCCAUGGGUUUCUCUUUGGUCGUGACAGCCAGAGGAAAGAGACUCCUCCCUUAUUUCCAGAGAAUGGUAAAGAAGCAUUGCCAGCCAUGUUGGCACACAGCUGGAGUGGGAGGCUGAGGCAGAAGGAUCCCCUGUGGUCCUAGUCAAAACCUUGUGGAGAACUGUACAGAAAGGCCAUCCCAAGCCUCUGCCUGCAAGACGAGGGCAGUUUUGGUCCACAGCGGGUCUCCUGGCUGGCUGUAUCCCCAUCGCUGUUAUUCACCGUUUGGCAGCAGCAGGGCAGAGAGCCCAGCUCGCCAAGAGCUUGUUGGACUCCUGAGACCUGGUGGGAGGGCAUCACUUACGUCUGGUCAAGGAAACAAGAACAUAAUAAUCAGGAGUCCCAGGAUCUUACAGGAAGCAGGAGGAGCCAAGGAAAGAAGGGGAGAGAAAGGUGAUAAAUCCAGGCAAGGAUUGCUGUGGAGCAAAUGCCUGCCUUGGGCAAUAAAGACUCCGCAUCUCUGUCCCCGUUGUCGCCAGUCAAGAGACGAGACGCAGCUCAAGCUCUCUUCUGUGUCUCUCUUUCCCUCUCUCUCCCUCUUCCUCUGCCAUGGCUUUGUGUGAC